CUCCCUCCUUUGCUCCGGGGGCUAUUUCGAGAGCCUCCUCCCUCCCUCCCUCCCUCCCUCCCUCCCUUCCUCCCGCCCGCCCGCCCCUCCCCCCAGGACCGGACGGGACCCGCCACACCAACUACUUGGGCCUGGGGGCUCCCCCCGGGGACACCCACACACACACACAAUCUCUCCUUGUCUCUCUCGCACACACACACACACGCUCCCUCUCCUACACAAACACACAUAGGCUCUGCCACACACAUACAAUCUCUCGGUGUCUCUCUCUCUCACACACAAUCUCGAUUACACACAGUCUCUGUUACCCCCACACACUCUGUCGCACACACCCCCCCAGUUUCUCUCUGUCACGCACACAAUCUCUCGGGGUCACACACACACACCGUCUCUCCCUGUCACACACACAAUCUCUCGGUGUCACACAAACGCACCGUCUCUCUCUCUCUCACACACACAGUCUCCUACACACACACACACACACAAACACAGUCUCUCUACCACACACGCACAAUCUGUGUCACACACACACACCCUCAUAUACACACACACAAACACACAGUCUCUCUCUCUGUGUCACACACACAGAGUCACACAUCCACAGUCUCUCUCACACCCUCCCAAACACACACGCACACGGUCUCUGUGUGUCACACACACAAUCUCUCUCUCUCUCUCACACACACACAGUCCCUCUGUUCCUCCCGGACCCGCACCCCCUCCCUCCCUCUCCCACACACAGUCGCACGAACACAGUCCCGCACAGGCAGUCUCUCUCUCUCUCUGUGUCACACACAGACACAUCCCUCCAUCCCUGGGAAGAUGUCAGUCCUGGGAGGGGGGAGGCGAAGUUAGCCGCUCCCCAGCGGGGCUGCAGAAGGCCGCCGGACCCGAACCCGGGACCAGGUUAGCCCUGCUUACUCUCGUCUCCUUGGCCAGGAUCUCCCCAGCUCAACAAGCCCCGCUGAGAUCCCACCUCAAGCUGCUAAAGCCAGUUCUCCAAGCCAUCUACAAUGAGCUCCACAGCACAGUCAGGUCAGUCCCGACCACACUUAACCCAGACACAGAUUUCACCGGAAGCUCGAUAUUUGCCGUUGACCUUGAGAAAAUCUCCCAGGUCUGGGAUGUUCUUCCAACACCAUUUAUGGGUUGUUGUUUUUUUUUUUGCUCGUCUAGAUUCUGAUUUCAAACCUAUAUGAUUGUAUUCAGUCUGCAUUCUGGGCACAUUAUUUUAUUUGUAUUAGUAUUACAGCAUUGAGUUUACAUGCUUAGGCUUUGGGUACGCCUUUUCUGAACCAGGACGAGCAUUGUGAACAGUUGCUUGUAAAAGACUUAGUUCACAUUUUUAUUACUUCCAACGUAAUGCGGGCCUGCUCCGUUUUCACUCAGUCCGGGGACUUUGGAAAUCACAUGGUAGGUCGAAUCAUUUAUUUUCUCCCUGCGGUCCUUGGAAAGUUGUCUCUCUUUCUCCACGCUGCUGCUUCAGACCCACACACGCACACGCAGGCCUAGACCAACACAUGUAGAGAAACUCUCCCGUCACUACCCCCAUGCUCAUGCAAAAUAAAAACACACACGCAUGCACUAAUUAUUUUUUCUGCACCCAUUUCCUCUGCAGUCAGUUAACUCUGCUGUUUUUAAGCCUGUAACCAAAGAAUCUCCGUGAUCGUCACGGCCAACACCCAUCUUUUUUGUAUCAAUAUACCCAGUUGGUUUUAGGAAUAGGAGCCUCCAGGUCAGUAAUAAUAAUAACGGUGGUAUUUGUUAAUUGCUUACUCUGUGCCCAGCACUGUGAGGUGAAGUUGUCAGCAGUACUAGCUAACUAGGUUACACUAAUUGACUGAUUACUCAAAUUCAUUAUUUGCUUGGUACCAGGAACUUGGUUAUGUGUAUAGUGUGGCUGUCCUAGCUUAUUUAUUUUUUCAUCGGUGAUUUUGAAACUAGCUAACAGAGACUAAAUUAAAUGUUAUAUCUUGAAAUGAAAGUCAUUAAUGUAAUAGUUUACCUGCUUUGUAUGUAACUAUUUUAAUAUAAAAAAACUGUGGUUAAUUUUGUUUGUUUUUUAAUGAUGAUAUUUCCACCCCUGUAAUUGUCCUGCUAAUGCAGUCGCGUGAGGAGCAAUUGGUCCUAUGAAAUUAAAGAAAGAACUUUUCU
This 2154-nucleotide long non-coding RNA is filed under the name Ornithorhynchus anatinus (platypus). RNAcentral describes it as "lncRNA (ENSOANG00000039888.1)". Lineage: Eukaryota; Metazoa; Chordata; Mammalia; Monotremata; Ornithorhynchidae. The record is from RNAcentral.